This is a long non-coding RNA of Gallus gallus (chicken), 1055 nucleotides long. Lineage: Eukaryota; Metazoa; Chordata; Aves; Galliformes; Phasianidae. The record is from Ensembl.
CCACAGAGCAGGAGCCCUUCCUGCACCAGAUCAGGGCUUUAUAAACCAGCUGCCCUCCCUCCCUGAUGGUUGUAUGGGAGGCUGUGUUGGGACUGUCCUAGAUGGCAGAAACAGGCAGGUACUCAUGGGAAAUGACACAGUGUGCAUGAUGGGAAUCGUGGAUCGCAGCCGAGGACCAGGAGAGGACGACGUCGCUCCUCGCCGCGUGCGCCCUGCUUGCACCACACCUGCACUUCCCCUCUGUGUGAUAGCGCUGUCCCCCAAAAGCGGCUGCAAAGCUUCCUUGGGCGGCCUGUUCCAGCACGUCACCGCUCUUUUGGAGAAGAAAUGUUUCCUAAUAUCCAUCCUGAACAUCCCCUGGCAUGGCUUGAGGCCGUUCCCUCUCAUCUUCUCGCAGCUGCCCAGGAGAAGAGGCCGACCCCCACCUCGCUACAACCUCCCAGCUGUUGUGUCCACAGUGAGUCCACGGCAGCAGCUCGGGGUGGUGGAAGGCGGCUAUUUGUUUUGGAAGACACACAGUGGUACACAUAUAAAUGCAGGAAAAAGAAGAAUUUAUACAGAGUGGUACCACCAGGUGAGAGAAAGCGAUCCAGAAGGCAAUAAAUGGGGUCUGCUGCUGGUCAGCGAGGGAGGGGAUGGAUGGAACUGUGACCCCCCAAAAGUGAGAUGGGACAAUGAUAGCCCUGAGUGAGGGUGUGUGGGCUGUGUGGGGCCCCAAAGCAGCCCCAAGGCCCUAUGGUGAGUUGGAGCUGUGGAGCAGCAGACAUUUGGGAUGCGUUGAGAAGAGAUGACUGUGCUGUAGCCAGGAAAGCUGCUCCUUAUAAGAGCAGGCUGGGUGAUGGGGAGGAUGGCACGGGGGCUUCAAGCACCAACUGGGUGGCCCUGGCAGUCACUGAAGUUGUCGUUUCCAGCCCAAGAGCUGCUGGAACCAAAGGAAAAGCACUGCAGGGGGGAAAACCUGCUCCCCUUCCUUGGGGUCCUCUGGCCUCCAAAGGGGCAAAAGCCCUUUUUCUGGCACCGGUGGCCCACCCUUCCACUCGAUGCAUUAUUCAAAC